Molecule: long non-coding RNA, 182 nt
Organism: Telopea speciosissima
Lineage: Eukaryota; Viridiplantae; Streptophyta; Magnoliopsida; Proteales; Proteaceae
Exons: 2
Source: RefSeq, a predicted model, not a curated record
AUAACAGAAAUAGGUUUUCGUUUGAUUUGAUCUUAUGGGUUGGGAGAAUGCAAGUCUCAAGGAACAUUAGUGGUUCACAUUUGGAAUUCCCUGGAGGGGAAGCCAGUUGGGUGAUGUGAGAUAUGAGGUAAAUUAUUGUUUUAUGAUAUUUACGUCCGUUAUGUCUUCUACCAUAUUUGACA